AUAAUCUCGACAUACUGUGCCAACAUAAUCUUAUACCUGUAUCCCGUAGACGGGAUCCUCAUGCAGGCUGACGUAGGCUGCAGGGCUGUCCUGGAUGUUGGCUGAAGACGGGACGACCUCCCCCAGCAGAUCCCUCACCAGGAAAUGGCACACGGGAUCAGGCCGAGCUUUUGGAUGCUUUCAUCGUUCCCCACCAUGCUGGACCAAGAGCCUGUGGUGGACGACACGAUGCACAGAACACAUCCAUUGCUGCCGCUGACCACACAGCGGAUGACGUCAGUCAAAACACCAGCACACACUUCGGCCUGGUCGGGAGAACAAAGCAGAGCGAGCAUCUUAUGACUGACACUGGC
Molecule: long non-coding RNA, 353 nt
Organism: Thalassophryne amazonica
Lineage: Eukaryota; Metazoa; Chordata; Actinopteri; Batrachoidiformes; Batrachoididae
Exons: 3
Source: RefSeq, a predicted model, not a curated record